RNAcentral lists this ribosomal RNA (312 nucleotides) under Triticum aestivum (bread wheat). Its description in RNAcentral is "partial small subunit ribosomal RNA". Lineage: Eukaryota; Viridiplantae; Streptophyta; Magnoliopsida; Poales; Poaceae. The record is from RNAcentral.
AUGGUACCUAAAAUUACUGAUUUUGGUCUAUCGAGGUGUUUCGAGGAAGGGCAAACAAGUGCUUUUACUGAACAAAUAUUUCUAUCACGAGGAUGUUUUGCUCCAGAACUCCUGACAAGACAACUCACAUUCAAGUUAGACAUAUUUAGUCUAAGCGUUAUAAUCAUAGAGAUACUAACAGGAGAGAAUAGCUAUUCCGAAGAUGAGAAGGUAGUAGGCAGGUUGGAUGACUCAGGUAGUUUCAAGUUGGAUGGAUCGACUGCAGGCAUUAGAGGGAGAUACAAGGGUGGAACAAGUAAGAGUAUGCACUAA